This 429-nucleotide ribosomal RNA is filed under the name Bacteroidota bacterium. Its description in RNAcentral is "Bacteroidetes bacterium partial 16S ribosomal RNA". It matches the Rfam family "Bacterial small subunit ribosomal RNA", at positions 355 to 776 of the family's 1533-position model. The record is from RNAcentral. Lineage: Bacteria; Pseudomonadati; Bacteroidota.
UAGGGAAUCUUCCGCAAUGGACGCAAGUCUGACGGAGCAACGCCGCGUGAGUGAAGAAGGAUUUCGGUUCGUAAAACUCUGUUGUUAGAGAAGAACAGCGCAUAGAGUAACUGUUAUGCGUGUGACGGUAUCUAACCAGAAAGCCACGGCUAACUACGUGCCAGCAGCCGCGGUAAUACGUAGGUGGCAAGCGUUGUCCGGAUUUAUUGGGCGUAAAGCGAGCGCAGGCGGUCAAUUAAGUCUGAUGUGAAAGCCCCCGGCUCAACCGGGGAGGGUCAUUGGAAACUGGUUGACUUGAGUGCAGAAGAGGAGAGUGGAAUUCCAUGUGUAGCGGUGAAAUGCGUAGAUAUAUGGAGGAACACCGGUGGCGAAAGCGGCUCUCUGGUCUGUAACUGACGCUGAGGCUCGAAAGCGUGGGUAGCAAACAGG